Molecule: ribosomal RNA, 826 nt
Filed under: uncultured bacterium
Lineage: Bacteria
Description: bacterial SSU rRNA
Rfam family: Bacterial small subunit ribosomal RNA
Source: RNAcentral
GUGGCGAACGGGUGCGUAACACGUGAGUAAUCUGCCGAGAAGUGGGGGAUAGCUCGCCGAAAGGCGAAUUAAUACCGCAUAUGACAAGGGAAGACAUCUUUCCAAAGUCAAAGUCGCAAGACGCUUCUUGAUGAACUCGCGGCCUAUCAGCUUGUUGGUGAGGUAACGGCUCACCAAGGCUAUGACGGGUAGCUGGUCUGAGAGGACGACCAGCCACACUGGAACUGAGACACGGUCCAGACACCUACGGGUGGCAGCAGUCGAGAAUUUUUCACAAUGGGGGAAACCCUGAUGGAGCGACGCCGCGUGGAGGACGAAGGCCUUCGGGUCGUAAACUCCUGUCAUGCGAGAACAAGAAAGUGAUAGUAUCGCAAGAGGAAGAGACGGCUAACUCUGUGCCAGCAGCCGCGGUAAUACAGAGGUCUCAAGCGUUGUUCGGAUUCAUUGGGCGUAAAGGGUGCGUAGGUGGCGUGGAAAGUUGAGUGUGAAAUCCUAGGGCUUAACCUUAGAACUGCACUCAAUACUCCCAUGCUAGAGGAAUGUAGAGGAGAGUGGAAUUCACGGUGUAGCAGUGAAAUGCGUAGAUAUCGUGAGGAAGACCAGUUGCGAAGGCGACUCUCUGGGCAUUUCCUGACACUGAGGCACGAAGGCCAGGGGAGCAAACGGGAUUAGAUACCCCGGUAGUCCUGGCAGUAAACGGUGCACGUUUGGUGUGGGCGGGCUCAGACCCCGUCCGUGCCGGAGCUAACGCGUUAAACGUGCCGCCUGGGAAGUACGGUCGCAAGAUUAAAACUCAAAGAAAUUGACGGGGGCCCGCACAAGCGGU